Molecule: ribosomal RNA, 479 nt
Filed under: uncultured bacterium
Lineage: Bacteria
Description: bacterial SSU rRNA
Rfam family: Bacterial small subunit ribosomal RNA
Source: RNAcentral
GAUAAACGCUGGCGGCGUGCAUGAGACAUGCAAGUCGAACGAAUGACUCGGGCUUGCUCGAGUCGCUAGUGGCGGACGGCUGAGUAACGCGUAGGUGACCUACCCCGAAGUGGGGAAUAACUGCCCGAAAGGGUGGCUAAUACCGCAUGUGGUCGCACGUUCAAUCGUGCGAGUAAAGCCGCAAGGCGCUUCGGGAGGGGCCUGCGUCCGAUUAGCUCGUUGGUGGGGUAACGGCUCACCAAGGCGACGAUCGGUAGGUGGUCUGAGAGGACGAUCACCCAGACUGGGACUGAGACACGGCCCAGACUCCUACGGGAGGCAGCAGUCGGGAAUUUUGCUCAAUGGGCGAAAGCCUGAAGCAGCAACGCCGCGUGAGGGAUGAAGGCCUUCGGGUUGUAAACCUCUUUUGUCAGGGACGAUGAUGACGGUACCUGACGAAUAAGCCACGGCUAACUACGUGCCAGCAGCCGCAGUAAAAC